RNAcentral lists this long non-coding RNA (285 nucleotides) under Prunus persica (peach). RNAcentral describes it as "long non-coding RNA (PPER_LNC008284)". The record is from RNAcentral. Lineage: Eukaryota; Viridiplantae; Streptophyta; Magnoliopsida; Rosales; Rosaceae.
AGCUUUUGACUCUAGUGCACAAUGGCAAGACCAGGCAAUUGAUGGGGUCCACAAGCUUGGACAGACUUGAAAGCAAAUCUUGUCUGAGUUUGCUAACGUUAACAACUAAAUUUUUUUUUUUUUAAAUCGAAAAAAAUACCAAAAUUUUCAGAAUUUAUAUAUAUUUAUAUAAAUUCCUAAUUCUAUUUUUCACUUCUCAUGCCAAAAUUAAUGGUUUAAGUAUAAAAAAUAUAAAAUAAAUUAAAAUGAAUAGUAAUUGCCCUUGUCCUUGUCAUUUGGAGUGGA